GACGAACGCUGGCGGCGUGCUUAACACAUGCAAGUCGAACGGAAAGGCCCUGCUUUUGUGGGGUGCUCGAGUGGCGAACGGGUGAGUAACACGUGAGUAACCUUCCCUUGACUUUGGGAUAACUUCAGGAAACUGGGGCUAAUACCGGAUAGGAGCUCCUGCUGCAUGGUGGGGGUUGGAAAGUUUCGGCGGUUGGGGAUGGACUCGCGGCUUAUCAGCUUGUUGGUGGGGUAGUGGCUUACCAAGGCUUUGACGGGUAGCCGGCCUGAGAGGGUGACCGGCCACAUUGGGACUGCGAUACGGCCCAGACUACUACGGGAGGCAGCAGUGGGGAAUAUUGCACAAUGGGCGGAAGCCUGAUGCAGCAACGCCGCGUGCGGGAUGACGGCCUUCGGGUUGUAAACCGCUUUCGCCUGUGACGAAGCGUGAGUGACGGUAAUGGGUAAAGAAGCACCGGCUAACUACGUG
This 468-nucleotide ribosomal RNA is filed under the name uncultured bacterium. RNAcentral describes it as "partial 16S ribosomal RNA". It matches the Rfam family "Bacterial small subunit ribosomal RNA", at positions 28 to 507 of the family's 1533-position model. The record is from RNAcentral.